Molecule: ribosomal RNA, 481 nt
Filed under: uncultured bacterium
Lineage: Bacteria
Description: partial 16S ribosomal RNA
Rfam family: Bacterial small subunit ribosomal RNA
Source: RNAcentral
GAUGAACGCUGGCGGCGUGCUUAACACAUGCAAGUCGAACGAAGCACUUUAUUUGAUUUCCUUCGGGACUGAUUAUUUUGUGACUGAGUGGCGGACGGGUGAGUAACGCGUGGGUAACCUGCCUUGUACAGGGGGAUAACAGUUGGAAACGGCUGCUAAUACCGCAUAAGCGCACGGCAUCGCAUGAUGCAGUGUGAAAAACUCCGGUGGUAUAAGAUGGACCCGCGUUGGUUUAGCUAGUUGGUGAGGUAACGGCCCACCAAGGCGACGAUACAUAGCCGACCUGAGAGGGUGACCGGCCACAUUGGGACUGAGACACGGCACAAACUCCUACGGGAGGCAGCAGUGGGGAAUAGUGCACAAUGGGCGAAAGCCUGAUGCAGCGACGCCGCGUGAGCGAAGAAGUAUUGCGGUAUGUAAAGCUCUAUCAGCAGGGAAGAUAAUGACGGUACCUGACUAAGAAGCACCGGCUAAAUACGUG